RNAcentral lists this ribosomal RNA (434 nucleotides) under uncultured Ruminococcus sp. RNAcentral's name for it is "bacterial SSU rRNA". It matches the Rfam family "Bacterial small subunit ribosomal RNA", at positions 341 to 792 of the family's 1533-position model. Lineage: Bacteria; Bacillati; Bacillota; Clostridia; Eubacteriales; Oscillospiraceae. The record is from RNAcentral.
ACGGGAGGCAGCAGUGGGGAAUAUUGCACAAUGGGGGAAACCCUGAUGCAGCGAUGCCGCGUGGAGGAAGAAGGUUUUCGGAUUGUAAACUCCUGUCUUAAAGGACGAUAAUGACGGUACUUUAGGAGGAAGCUCCGGCUAACUACGUGCCAGCAGCCGCGGUAAUACGUAGGGAGCGAGCGUUGUCCGGAAUUACUGGGUGUAAAGGGCGCGUAGGCGGGGAUGCAAGUCAGAUGUGAAAUCCAUGGGCUUAACUCAUGAACUGCAUUUGAAACUGUAUCUCUUGAGUGUCGGAGAGGUAGAUGGAAUUCCUAGUGUAGCGGUGAAAUGCGUAGAUAUUAGGAGGAACACCAGUGGCGAAGGCGAUCUACUGGACGAUAACUGACGCUGAGGCGCGAAAGCGUGGGGAGCAAACAGGAUUAGAUACCCUGGUA